RNAcentral lists this long non-coding RNA (546 nucleotides) under Salmo salar (Atlantic salmon). RNAcentral describes it as "lncRNA (ENSSSAG00000113825.1)". The record is from RNAcentral. Lineage: Eukaryota; Metazoa; Chordata; Actinopteri; Salmoniformes; Salmonidae.
UGUAGGUGUAAUUUGUAGGUGUAAUUUGUGCAUCUGGAUGUUUGUGAAUGCUCAUCCCCUCUCUAAGUGUUGGUGGUUGAAUACCCUUUCUAGUAGAGUCCUGUGUGGUGUGUUUAAGUUGUUUGUCUGUGGGGAGUAAUGGCUGGUGAUGUGGCUGUCCUGUGUGAGUGUGUGAUCUGCUACCUGUCUGUCUUCACCGCCACAGCUCCACAUCAGCCACAGGCCGGCCCCUCAACCUUUCCAGGGCCGGGGUGAGAAUCUCUUCAGCUCCUCUCAGCUGCCAGGCAUGCUCAGCCACGCCUUACUGAUUUACACUGGAAGCCAUGGCAGGAGCCAGGGCCACCGUGGACCCUCUGAAAAACAAACCACUGACAGGCACCAACCACAGGAGUGUGGGGACUCUCUCUCCCCUGAUCUGCACCAGGAGCAGGGUCACAGCCUCUACAGGCUGUCUUGAGUAAGAAGUGGUGUCAUCCUCCACUCCCAUCCGUCGGUUGGGAUUUGCCUCAGAGCUUCCCGAGACGGCCUGAUUUGUGUGACAAACAC